RNAcentral lists this ribosomal RNA (345 nucleotides) under uncultured bacterium. RNAcentral describes it as "bacterial SSU rRNA". It matches the Rfam family "Bacterial small subunit ribosomal RNA", at positions 72 to 422 of the family's 1533-position model. The record is from RNAcentral.
AAGCUUCUUCGGAAGUUAGUAAAGCGGCAGACGGGUGAGUAACGCGUGAGAAUCUACCUUCUAGUGGAGAAUACCCUCGAGAAAUCGAGGUUAAUACUGCAUAAGUCCCUUCGGGGAGAAAGAUGGCCUCUUUGCUGUCGCUGGAAGAUGAGCUUGCGUGCUAUUAGCUAGUUGGUAGGGUAAAGGCCUACCAAGGCGAUGAUAGCUAGCCGGCCUGAGAGGGUGUACGGCCACACUGGAACUUAGACACGGUCCAGACUCCUACGGGAGGCAGCAGUGAGGAAUCUUGCGCAAUGGGCGAAAGCCUGACGCAGCGACGCCGCGUGGAGGAUGACGGUCUUCGGA